CUCAUUACGGGACCGCCUGCAGCCUCCAGCUGCUCUCUGCUUCCCCAGGGUUAAUAGAUUCCUCUUGCCCCGGUGCCACGUCCCUGCCCCAGCCGAGCUCUCUCCUCGCAGACACAGCGCGGCCUCCCCCCCGCCCGCCGGCUCGGUGUGAGGCGAGCCCAGCGCCCUGCGGCCGGGCCGCAGCGGCUGCUCCCGAAAAGGUGCGGUGCUCAAAAGAGCCCUGGCCGCGGUGCUUUGCUGCGGUGCAGCACAGGCUGAGACACGAGUGGCAGCGCAGAAACAGCUGCUGCUUUCAGAGAGCAAAUCACAGAAACGCUGCCCGUGCUGGAGAGGGACAGCCUGCCCCUCGGCUGCCGCUCAGCCCCUCGGAGCGCAGCCAGCCCGGAGUGGGACAUUUCGGGCCCCUCGCUACAGCACUGCCACUGAGGUGCUGCAGCGUGUCCAGAGAAGGGCAGUCCAUCUGGUGAAGGGUCCAGAGGACAAGUCCAAUGAGGAGUGGCUGAGGGAGCUGGGAUUAUUUAGUCUGGAGAAAAGGAGGCUCAGGAGAGAUUUUAUCACUCUACAAGUGCCUGAAAGGAGGGUGUAGCCAGGUGGAGGAUGGUUUCUUUUCCCAAGCAGCAAGGGAUAUGACAAGACGAAUGCACUGUGUUGUGCCGGAGGAGGUUUACUUGGAUCUUAGGAAAAAAUUAUUUACAAAAAAGAUGGUCAGGCAUUGGAACAGGCUGUCCGGGCACCAGGAAACUGUUCAGUGGUGGACUUGGCAGUGCUGGGUUAGCAGGUUCAAUGAGCUAAGAAGCCUUUUCCAACCUAAACCAUUCUGUAAUUCCAUGAGACAGCCCCUGCAGGUCUCUGCCUGGGUUUGGGUGGAGCAGGUCCUCACAGUCAGCAUGAGCUCCAUCCCCCAGCAGCCUCAUCUGGAAUCCAGCUCAUGACAUUAGGGGCACAAAAGGUGUUGCUUUUCUUAGAUCUCCCCAUUCCUUGGUGUCUUUGUGCUGCAAAGGGCUGUGGGACACCAUGGAGCUCCCAGACAGGCAGCUGCUACUGAGUGGAAACUGCUUUGUCUCCCUUGAUGAAAACCCUGGAGCCCUCCAAGAAGCUCACGAGGGUCGAGGAGGUGCUCUCUGGCAUCUCUGGAAGCUAUUAUGGACCACUUUUCAGCCACUUUUUUCACUAAGAAUCACAAUGCCUGUGAGCCCAGGCAUGGGCUUGAGUCUCCUACAGGAAAAGCCUUCAUGCGUGGGAGCCUCUCCUUGCUAGACAUAUUCACUUAUACAUCUCUGGGAUUUCUGUCUGCUACGAGAGCUGAAGAGUGGGAGUCAGACUUCCAGGAGUUUCCUUUUGUUCCUGCCACCGUCUCCAAGGAGCAAGCUUCUAUAACCAUCUCCACAGUCUACACAUACCCCAGGUGGCCAAAGUUCAUAGCCACCAUCACCUUUCUUUCCCUUUUUGUGACACCUUCUUUUAGGCAGAUUCCUCUUUUUAUCAUAUAGAAGUCACCUCCUGCCUGAUUUUAGGCACAUCUUCUGCAAAAGCUUCCAGUUCUCUACUUGGUCCCUUCCAGACAGAUGGGGAUGUACCAGUUUGCGGCUAAAACAACUUGCUUGACCCUGGGACACCAGGGUGAAACUAUAAAAUUACAGCUUUAGUGCAAGUUCUUACUGCCUCUGGCCAUAUACUGUUUCUUUGGUCAUUGAUGAACUAAUUUAACGAUGGUGAACUAAUUUAACAGGUUCUCCAUCUGUAAAACACAUGUACUAAUACAUGCAUAAACUCUUAUCCCUAAGACUGCUAGUCCCAAAUGAGUCCUGAGAAGCUGAAUGUAUUUGAAGAGGGCUUAUUGACACUCAGAUGAAGCAUCUUAUUGACCUGUAAAAUAGCUUCUGGAUUAGACGACACAAAUCCUAAACCAAACAUCAUGGCAGUACAACAACUGGGAUGCUAACAUAAUCAAAACAAUUCAAGAACAACAACAUCAACACAACUCUAGGAAUUAUUCUGUUCUGAAUCAAAAGGAAAAGGUACAUCCUUUCCCCUUUCACAGCUCUGGGAUAAUAUUCCAGAUUUUCUCAGAUUUCAGAUUUAAAAAAAACCCUUAAAGUAUUGCACUUAAAUCUGCUUUUUUUGCUUUACAAAAGUAGAUAUCGGUGAGCAGUGUAAGCAAAUGGCUUAAUGCUUAUUACUUUCUAAAAUCAUUUAAGCAUAUUUAAAAAAUUUUAAACUAACUGAAGAAGGGAAACAGAGGUAUGCUUUGUCUUCUAUAUUUGCCAUGUCACUGCCACUGAAGCUGCCAUCUGUGGAACAGAAGCAAUAGCAGCAAUACUGGGAUGGAUUGGAAAGAAAUGGGUAAACACACCUGCAAAGCAUUUAAUCAUACUCCUCUGAUAUUUUUGGGACUUCAGAUGGUAAUUUCAUUUGAAGCAGGACCAGGUCCAAGUAGAAAAUUAAAAUUUUAAACUGGAAGACUGAUGAGGCUGCACCCACACACCUGUAUAAAGAGAGCUCCUCACAGAAAGCCAUAUAAAUGUGUUUUCAAUUGCAGUAGAAAGGUAUGAUUGUAAACCAAACUCAGUUGUAUUUACUCCAAGCAAGUCCAGGAGGAAGAGUAAGACGGAAUGGUUGCUAUCCCAAUCUUCUAUAGGCAUAGACAUGAAACAAAGCUGCACAUUUACCUUUUAUGGCCCACUUCUAGAGAUGAGGGUGUUCAGGAAGAUUGGAAUGGUGCCUGUAGCCUCCCUGCUGCAGCUGUGGGUGCUGUGUGACUCGGGAAUGGCAUAAAUGACAUGGCCUUCAAGGAACAGGAGCACAAAGCAGCACCAAAGCAACAGCACUGAGAGAAAGCUGCUGGAACCAGAGACCCAGCUGUCAGCAAAAGUAAUGCCAAGACUGCACAAUUUUGAUGCUGUCCAAACCAGUUAACUGCUCUAUGCAACCUU
Molecule: long non-coding RNA, 2933 nt
Organism: Passer domesticus (house sparrow)
Lineage: Eukaryota; Metazoa; Chordata; Aves; Passeriformes; Passeridae
Exons: 3
Source: RefSeq, a predicted model, not a curated record